GCCCGGCUAGCUCAGUCGGUAGAGCAUGAGACUCUUAAUGUCAGGGUCGUGGGUUCCAGCCCCACGUUGGGCA
RNAcentral lists this transfer RNA (73 nucleotides) under Danio rerio (zebrafish). RNAcentral describes it as "tRNA-Lys (CTT) (tRNA-Lys-CTT-163-1)". It matches the Rfam family "tRNA". From Rfam's summary of the family: Transfer RNA (tRNA) molecules are approximately 80 nucleotides in length. Their secondary structure includes four short double-helical elements and three loops (D, anti-codon, and T loops). The record is from Rfam by way of RNAcentral. Lineage: Eukaryota; Metazoa; Chordata; Actinopteri; Cypriniformes; Danionidae.